RNAcentral lists this ribosomal RNA (446 nucleotides) under uncultured bacterium. RNAcentral's name for it is "bacterial SSU rRNA". It matches the Rfam family "Bacterial small subunit ribosomal RNA", at positions 330 to 792 of the family's 1533-position model. The record is from RNAcentral.
UCCAGACUCCUACGGGAGGCAGCAGUGGGGGAUAUUGCACAAUGGGGGAAACCCUGAUGCAGCGACGCCGCGUGAGUGAAGAAGUAUUUCGGUAUGUAAAGCUCUCUCAGCAGGGAAGAAAAAAGACGGUACCUGACUAAGAAGCCCCGGCUAACUACGUGCCAGCAGCCGCGGUAAUACGUAGGGGGCAAGCGUUAUCCGGAUUUACUGGGUGUAAAGGGAGCGUAGACGGCAAUACAAGUCGGAAGUGAAAUACCCGGGCUCAACCUGGGAACUGCUUUGGAAACUGUAUGGCUGGAGUGCUGGAGAGGUAAGCGGAAUUCCUAGUGUAGCGGUGAAAUGCGUAGAUAUUAGGAGGAACACCAGUGGCGAAGGCGGCUUACUGGACAGUAACUGACGUUGAGACUCGAAAGCGUGGGGAGCAAACAGGAUUAGAUACCCCAGUA